UUACACAAAAUGAUACUUUUUUUCUUUACAUAAUACUUUUAAAUACAUUAACAUAUUAUUUUUUUAUACCACUUUAUAUUAUUUUAUUUCAAUUUUUUUUUAAAAUAACAUAAAUGAAAUAUGUAGCCUAUAUUUUUAAGAACUUAAAAAUAUAUAUUAUUAUACACAAAAAUUGUGUUACACACAAACACAAUCACAAUCACAAUCACAUAUAUAUAUAUAUAUAUAUAUAUAUAUAUAUAUAUACAUAUAAAUAGCUAUAUACAUAGCAUACUGAAAAGCGCGUGACCUAUUUAAACAUUUUGUUUAAAAGGAAUUUAAUACCAUUUAUUCGUUAUUUAUUAUUUAUUCAUUCUUUAUUUGUUAUCUAUUCAUUCUUUAUUUAUUAUUUAUUCAUUCUUUAUUUAUUAUCUAUUCAUUCUUUAUUUAUGAUAUAUUCAUUCUUUAUUUAUUAUCUAUUUAUUCAUUUAUAUAUAUAUAUAUAUAUAUAUAUAUAUAUAUUGAUUUAUUUUUUAUUUAUUUUUUUUUCUUGUUGGUGGGGAGAGGACACAACUAAAUGGCAAUGUCGAAUGUGCAACAAAUUAUUUUUUGUUUAUGUCUAACUUUGUUCGUAACUACUUUAUCACUAGAAAAAAAUGCGGUAAAUAUUGAGCCACAUAAACAAAAUGAAAAAAAAGACAAUAUAGGAAAUGGCAUUAAUAAAGCACGUAAUAUUGUUGCAAAGUUACGUUUUUUAGAAAAAAUAGAAAAAAUUUUGGAAAAAAACAACUUAGGUGUUAUGGAUGUAAAUUUUGACCCAAAUGUUUAUAAUCCAGAUAAAAAUGCACCUAAAAGUGAACUUACAAAAAUAAAACUAAAUGAAAAAGAAGAAUCUGAUGCAUAUAAUAAUAAUAAACCUAAUUUAACUAAUUUAUCAGAAAUUAAAGUAAACAAAAUAAAAAAUAAAAAAGCAUUACGUUUAAUAGUUAGUGAAAAUCAUGCAACAACUCCAUCUUUUUUUGAAGAAUCACUUUUACAAGAAGAUGUAAUCAAUUUUAUACAUAGUAAAGGUAAAGUAUUUCAUUUACCAAAUAUGAAGUUUAUGUUAAUUGACUUAAAUAGUAAUACAAAUGAUGAAGAAUUGGAGUUAUAUAUUAAUACUUUGGAAAAUAAAGGAGCACAUGUUGAACCUGAUCAAUUAGUUGGUGGAGAUGACUUAGAUUUGACAUCUAUAAUGAAUGCAGUAAGGAAUGGAGAAGAUAACAUUGAUUUAAAAAAUUAUAGUUACAAUAAUCAAUUAACAACAGGACAAAAUGACAAUAUAAUUGCACUAGGUGAAUCUAUUUUAUCAGAUAAUAACAACCAUACUACUACAAAGAAUAGUGAUAAUAUUCAUGUUAAGAGUACCAGUAGUGAUACGGAAGAAGAAGAAGAAGAAGAAGAACAUACUUAUUUUAAAUCAAAUAAAAAUAAAAUAUAUAAAUUUAAUGAUGAAUAUAGAAAUCUUCAAUGGGGUUUAGAUUUAUCCAAAUUAGAUGAAGCACAAGAAAUAAUUAAAGAAAAUCAAAAAGUAUCUACUAAAAUUUGUGUUAUAGAUAGUGGAGUAGAUUAUAAUCAUCCUGAUUUAAAAGAUAAUAUUGAUAUAAAUAAUUCUGAAUAUUCAGGUAAAAAAGGUAUUGAUGAUGAUAAUAAUGAUGUAAUUGAUGAUAUAUAUGGAGCAAAUUUUGUAAAUAAUAGUGGUGACCCUAUGGAUGAUAAUUAUCAUGGUACACAUGUUGCUGGUAUUAUAUCUGCUAUUAGUAAUAAUAAUAUAGGAAUAGUAGGAGUUGAUUCUAAUGCUAAAUUAAUUAUAUGUAAAGCAUUAGAUGAACAUAAAAUAGGUAGAUUAGGUGAUAUAAUUAAAUGUAUUGAUUAUUGUAUAGAUAGAAAUGCAAAUAUAAUUAAUGGUAGUUUUUCAUUUGAUGAAUAUAGUUCUGUUUUUAAUGACACUACUAAAUAUAUAAAAUCCUUAGGUAUAUUAUUUGUUGUAUCUGUUGGUAAUUGUCUACAUCCAAAAUUUAUGAAACCUGACUUAAGUAAAUGUAAUUUAUCAUUCAAUGCUAGAUACCCAACUGUUCUUUCUAAUAUACAUGAUAAUAUAAUAGCUGUUGGAAAUUUACAAAAAGACUUAAAUGGUGAAUACUCUUUAUCACCAAACUCUUUUUAUGGUGAUAUAUAUUGCCAAGUAGCUGCACCUGGUACUAAUAUUUAUUCUACUACACCUUUUAAUACUUAUAGAAUGCUUAAUGGGACAUCUAUGGCAUCCCCUCAUGUUGCUGCUAUUGCUUCUAUUAUUUACUCAAUAAACCCAAAUUUAAGCUACAAAGAAAUCAUUGAAAUAAUGAAAAAAUCAAUAAUAAAAGUACCUGCUGUUCAAGAUAAAGUUGGAUGGGGUGGAUAUAUUGACAUACAUCAGGCUGCUACAUUGGCUAUUGAAUCAAAAGCACCUUAUGUACAAUUUAGUGAUUGGUUUAAGUGGAAGAAAAACCGACACUAAAUCCAAUUUUUGGCAAAAGCAUGAUGCAUUUCUGAUAAUUGGCACUUAUCAUCUAGAGUCACAUGAUACGCACACAUACGUACGUACGUACAUAUAUAUAUAUAUAUAUAUAUAUAUAUAUGUAUAUGCGCAUUUAUGCGUAAGAAACAUAAACGUUGGUAAAACGUACCGUCUAUUGGGGGAAUAUAUAAGCUUAGCGAAAUAAGCAUGCUCCUUUUUUUUAUUUUUUUAUUUUUUUGUAUUAACACAGUGAUCCAUCAUAAAUAUGAACAUAUGAGCGUAUAAGCGUAUGCGCAUAUGAACACAUGAGCAUAUGAGCAUAGGAGCUUAGAAAAAAAAUAAAAAAUAAGAAAAAGCUUUCA
This is a long non-coding RNA of Piliocolobus tephrosceles (Ugandan red Colobus), 2877 nucleotides long. NCBI's taxonomy places the organism in Eukaryota, Metazoa, Chordata, Mammalia, Primates, Cercopithecidae. The record is from Ensembl.